RNAcentral lists this ribosomal RNA (389 nucleotides) under uncultured marine eukaryote. RNAcentral describes it as "SSU rRNA". It matches the Rfam family "Eukaryotic small subunit ribosomal RNA", at positions 1 to 395 of the family's 1831-position model. The record is from RNAcentral.
AACCUGGUUGAUCCUGCCAGUAGUCAUAUGCUUGUCUCAAAGACUAAGCCAUGCAUGUCUAAGUAUAAAUGCUAUACAAUGAAACUGCGAAUGGCUCAUUAAAACAGUUAUAGUUUAUUUGGUAAUCGAAUUUACAUGGAUAACCGUGGUAAUUCUAGAGCUAAUACAUGCUAUUAAGCCUGACUUCUUGAAAGGCCGUAUUUAUUAGAUAACAGACCAAUAUUCCUCGUGUCUAUUGUGGUGAAUCAUAGUAACUUUUCGGAUCGCAUGGGUUUUGCCCGCGACAAACCAUUCAAGUUUCUGCCCCAUCAGCUUUCGAUGGUAGUGUAUUGGACUACCAUGGCUUUCACGGGUAACGGAGGAUUAGGGUUCGAUUCCGGAGAGGGAGC